This 500-nucleotide ribosomal RNA is filed under the name uncultured bacterium. RNAcentral's name for it is "partial 16S ribosomal RNA". It matches the Rfam family "Bacterial small subunit ribosomal RNA", at positions 30 to 523 of the family's 1533-position model. The record is from RNAcentral.
AUUGAACGCUGGCGGCAUGCCUUACACAUGCAAGUCGAACGGCAGCACGGGAGCAAUCCUGGUGGCGAGUGGCGAACGGGUGAGUAAAGUAUCGGAACGUGCCCAGUCGUGGGGGAGAACGUAGCGAACGUUACGCUAAUACCGCAUACGCUCUAUGGAUGAAAGCGGGGGCUCGCAAGACCUCGCGCGAUUGGAGCUGCCGAUAUCAGAUUAGGCAGUUGGUGGGGGAAAGGCUCACCAAGCCGACGAUCUGUAGCUGGUCUGAGAGGACGACCAGCCACACUGGGACUGAGACACGGCCCAGACUCCGACGGGAGGCAGCAGUGGGGAAUUUUGAACAAUGGGCGAAAGCCUGAUCCAGCCAUGCCGCGUGCAGGAUGAAGGCCUUCGGGUUGUAAACUGCUUUUGUACGGAACGAAAAGGUUUGGCCUAAUAAGCUGAGCUCAUGACGGUACCGUAAGAAUAUGCACCGGCUAACUACGUGCCAGCAGCCGCAGUAA